This 308-nucleotide long non-coding RNA is filed under the name Ananas comosus (pineapple). RNAcentral's name for it is "long non-coding RNA (ACOM_LNC020732)". Lineage: Eukaryota; Viridiplantae; Streptophyta; Magnoliopsida; Poales; Bromeliaceae. The record is from RNAcentral.
AAUCUCUAAGUGCCUAUGAUGCCCCCGUUUAGCUUUUGCUUUCAGUAACAGUCACUUUUAGUAGAGUGUUUGGUAAACAGAAAAAGCCUAGUGCUUCUGCUGUAGCAGAAUAUAGAAUAAGAUUCUGAGACCCAAAAGUAGAACACUUUUUUACUGCCCGUCAACACUUCAUCCAAUUGCAUUAUACCAUACAGCAGGGUUGAACAGAUCCUGAUAGGUCACAAAGAAACAUCACAAUUUUUUAAACCUGUUACCUAGGCAUCAGAUAGUUGCAAAUCAACGUUGUUAAGGAAUUUAUUGUUCGUUCU